UACGUAGGGAGCGAGCGUUGUCCGGAAUUACUGGGCGUAAAGGGUGCGUAGGCGGUAGGCCAAGUCAGAUGUGAAAUUCCCGGGCUUAACUCGGGGGGUGCAUUUGAAACUGGUUUACUUGAGUGCAGGAGAGGAAAGUGGAAUUCCUAGUGUAGCGGUGGAAUGCGUAGAUAUUAGGAGGAACACCAGUGGCGAAGGCGACUUUCUGGACUGUAACUGACGCUGAGGCACGAAAGCGUGGGGAGCAAACAGG
Molecule: ribosomal RNA, 253 nt
Filed under: uncultured bacterium
Lineage: Bacteria
Description: partial 16S ribosomal RNA
Rfam family: Bacterial small subunit ribosomal RNA
Source: RNAcentral